CAGGAUGGGCACUUAGCUAUCGGCUUUUUGCUGAGGAAAGUCCGCCCUCCCUUCGCUUGGAAGAAAGUGUUACCUUUGAGAAAAGGAUCCAGUAAUGGAUGGCAACCACGCAGAAACGAAACCACCUGUGCUUAGGAUGAUGCAGGAGAGGGGCAUGGCAACAUGCCUUAGAUAACCCGCUGACAGUGGCACAGGAAAGGAUGAAACGGUGAGACCUAACCGGAGCAAGUCUUUUGACGCUUAGUUGAAUGCUAAGAGAGCCAUCGAGACAUUGUUGAGUAAUGGGCUCUUACAAAAGGCGGCUUAUGCCUGUCCUG
RNAcentral lists this RNase P RNA (317 nucleotides) under Candidatus Woesearchaeota archaeon. RNAcentral's name for it is "RNase P RNA component". It matches the Rfam family "Archaeal RNase P". Rfam says of the family: Ribonuclease P (RNase P) is a ubiquitous endoribonuclease, found in archaea, bacteria and eukarya as well as chloroplasts and mitochondria. Its best characterised activity is the generation of mature 5'-ends of tRNAs by cleaving the 5'-leader elements of precursor-tRNAs. Lineage: Archaea; Nanobdellati; Candidatus Woesearchaeota. The record is from RNAcentral.